RNAcentral lists this ribosomal RNA (258 nucleotides) under uncultured bacterium. Its description in RNAcentral is "partial 16S ribosomal RNA". It matches the Rfam family "Bacterial small subunit ribosomal RNA", at positions 96 to 354 of the family's 1533-position model. The record is from RNAcentral.
CGGCGGACGGGUGAGUAACGCGUGGGUAACCUGCCUUAUACAGGGGGAUAACAGUUAGAAAUGACUGCUAAUACCGCAUAAGCGCACAGUACUGCAUGGUACAGUGUGAAAAACUCCGGUGGUAUAAGAUGGACCCGCGUCUGAUUAGCCAGUUGGCGGGGUAACGGCCCACCAAAGCGACGAUCAGUAGCCGACCUGAGAGGGUGACCGGCCACAUUGGGACUGAGACACGGCCCAAACUCCUACGGGAGGCAGCAG